CGGGCCGUGGCCUAGCUUGGUAAGGCGCCACACUGGGGGUGUGGAGACCGCGAGUUCAAAUCUCGCCGGCCCGA
This 74-nucleotide transfer RNA is filed under the name Micromonosporaceae bacterium. It matches the Rfam family "tRNA". From Rfam's summary of the family: Transfer RNA (tRNA) molecules are approximately 80 nucleotides in length. Their secondary structure includes four short double-helical elements and three loops (D, anti-codon, and T loops). Lineage: Bacteria; Bacillati; Actinomycetota; Actinomycetes; Micromonosporales; Micromonosporaceae. The record is from Rfam by way of RNAcentral.